Long non-coding RNA from Brassica napus (rape), 506 nucleotides. RefSeq lists it as uncharacterized. The transcript is spliced from 3 exons. Lineage: Eukaryota; Viridiplantae; Streptophyta; Magnoliopsida; Brassicales; Brassicaceae. The record is from RefSeq and is a predicted model, not a curated record.
UUUCAGUAACUUCUUUUGCCGUGACUUCAAGUUGCUUCUCUUUCGGCUCUUCAACAACAGGUGAUGUUUCAACAACCUCUUUUGCUUUCUCUGUUUGAUUCCUCUUCGCCCUUGACAUCUGCAGUAGGAGUCGUCUUCUCUGUCGAAUCCAAAGAGGGAGGAGAGAUAUUUCUUCACUGGUAAACAAUGGUGAAAGCAGUAGUUGGAGAAGAGGCUAGGCUCACCUCUGCUGAAGAUCGUUUCUCUCACUCCGCUAUUCCUGCUGAGGGAAGCUUAGCUCUGUUUUAGAUUGUGGAUUUGUGUUUGAGAGAGCAUGCUCGGUUCUGGGGACCAGAGAUGAUAAAAGGAAGCCAUCCAAGUCAAAAUCUUAGUCAUCGGAGUCGUAUUCUCUGUCGAUUGAUCGUGAUUGUAAACAAUCGCUGUAGUGCAUUCCUGGUUUAGACUUUGGUUUAGUUUUGGUUAUUUUGUAAACAAUUUUUAUAUAUACAAUCCCUUUAGACUGAAUA